GAUUAACGCUAGCGGCAGGCCUAAUACAUGCAAGUCGAACGGUAACAGGUGUAGCAAUACAUGCUGACGAGUGGCGCACGGGUGCGUAACACGUAUGCAACCUACCUAUAACUGGGGAAUAGCCUUCCGAAAGGAAGAUUAACUCCGCAUAAUACUACAGAGAGGCAUCUCCCUGUAGUUAAACCUCCGGGGGUUAUAGAUGGGCAUGCGUUCGAUUAGUUAGUUGGCGAGGAACGGCUCACCAAGACUACGAUCGAGUAGGGGGUCUGAGAGGAUGACUCCCCCA
RNAcentral lists this ribosomal RNA (286 nucleotides) under uncultured bacterium. RNAcentral describes it as "partial 16S ribosomal RNA". It matches the Rfam family "Bacterial small subunit ribosomal RNA", at positions 28 to 310 of the family's 1533-position model. The record is from RNAcentral.